AUACGGAGGGGGCUAGCGUUGUUCGGAAUUACUGGGCGUAAAGCGCACGUAGGCGGAUUAAAAAGUUAGAGGUGAAAUCCCAGGGCUUAACCCUGGAACUACCUUUAAAACUAGUAGUCUAGAGUUCGAGAGAGGUGAGUGGAAUUCCAAGUGUAGAGGUGAAAUUCGUAGAUAUUUGGAGGAACACCAGUGGCGAAGGCGGCUCACUGGCUCGAUACUGACGCUGAGGUGCGAAAGCGUGGGGAGCAAACAGGAUUAGAUACCCGGGUAGUCC
RNAcentral lists this ribosomal RNA (274 nucleotides) under uncultured bacterium. RNAcentral describes it as "partial 16S ribosomal RNA". It matches the Rfam family "Bacterial small subunit ribosomal RNA", at positions 523 to 796 of the family's 1533-position model. The record is from RNAcentral.